RNA transcript from Culicoides brevitarsis, 2558 nucleotides. It is a transcript of the gene named semaphorin-2A, with no coding region annotated. NCBI's taxonomy places the organism in Eukaryota, Metazoa, Arthropoda, Insecta, Diptera, Ceratopogonidae. The transcript has 14 exons. The record is from RefSeq and is a predicted model, not a curated record.
AAAGGAGUCAAACAGACCAUACUGUUUAACAAAAAAAACUUGGAUAGCUAUGUUACUACUUUUAGUGAUGUUCAUGCUACCAUAUUCAGCAAAAUGUGAUUAUGAAAAUACAUGGAAUUUUUAUUAUGAACAACCUUGUUGUAGCACUUAUAGUCUCAGUGGAGGCUCACAUCAUUUACGACAUCAUAGAGAUCAUGUAAAAGAAUUCACAUGUGGAAAAAUGUUUUAUAGAACAUUUUAUAUGGAUGAAAAACGCGAUUCACUCUAUGUUGGCGCAAUGGAUCGAGUAUUUAAACUUGAUUUAAAAAAUAUAAGUAAAGCAGGUUGUGAGAGAAAUCAUAUUUUGCUGGAACCAACUGGAUCUGAUGUUGUAAAUUGUGUAUCAAAGGGAAAAAGUCAACUUUUUGACUGUAGGAAUCACAUACGAGUAGUACAACCGAUGGAAAAUGGAAAUAGAUUAUAUGUUUGCGGUACAAAUGCUCACAACCCCAAAGAUGUUGUUAUAUAUUCGAAUUUAACUCAUUUACCACGGUCUGAAUAUGUUCCUGGAAUCGGUCUCGGUAUAGCAAAAUGUCCAUACGAUCCGUUAGAUAAUUCAACAGCGAUCUACGUAGAGAAUGGAAAUCCUGGAGACUUGCCAGCAUUGUAUUCCGGUACCAAUGCAGAAUUUACUAAGGCUGACACUGUAAUAUUUAGAACAGAUUUAUAUAAUAUGACAUCAGGAAGAAAAGAAUACAACUUUAGAAGAACAUUAAAAUAUGAUUCAAAAUGGCUGGAUAAGCCAAAUUUCGUUGGAUCAUUUGAUAUAGGAGAAUAUGUUUAUUUCUUCUUUCGUGAAACAGCUGUUGAAUAUAUUAACUGUGGAAAGGCAGUAUAUUCUAGAGUAGCACGUGUUUGUAAAAAAGAUACAGGAGGAAAGAAUAUUCUCAGCCAGAAUUGGGCAACCUAUUUAAAAGCUCGUUUAAAUUGUAGCAUCAAUGGAGAAUUUCCGUUUUAUUUUAAUGAAAUCCAGGCAGUUUAUCAGUUACCGAAUGAUAAGACAAAAUUUUAUGCUACAUUUACCACUAGUACCAAUGGCUUAGUUGGAUCUGCUGUUUGUAGCUACAACAUAGAAGAUAUUAAAGAAGCUUUUGAAGGAAAAUUUAAGGAACAGGCAUCUAGUAACUCAGCGUGGCUGCCAGUUUUAAAAUCAAAACUACCCGAACCACGACCUGGAACCUGUGUAAACGACACACAAACACUGCCUGACACAGUACUUAAUUUUAUUCGAUCUCAUCCAUUAAUGGAUAAAGCAGUAGAUCAUGAGCAUGCAACUCCAGUAUUUUACAAACGAGAUCUAGUAUUUACAAAACUUGUAGUUGACAGAAUUCGUAUAGAGUUAUUAAAUCAAGAGUAUAUGGUGUUUUACAUUGGUACAAAUGAAGGGAGAAUUUAUAAAAUUGUCCAAUUUUUAAAAAAUGGAGAAUCUAAAUCAAAAUUAUUAGACAUUUUUGAAAUUGCACAGAAUGAAGCAAUUCAAGUUAUGGAACUAAGCCAAACUCGUAAAUCAUUGUAUGUGGGAACAGACCAUCGCAUCAAACAAAUCGAUCUAAGCAUGUGUAAUCGACGUUAUGAUAAUUGCUUCAGAUGUGUCAAAGAUCCAUACUGUGGUUGGGAUAAGGAAACAAAUGUUUGCAAGCCCUAUGAGUUGGGAUUAUUACAGGAUGUUGGUAAUGAGACCUACGACAUUUGUGAUACUAGUGUAUUAAAAAAGAAAAUUGUCGUCACAUACGGACAAAGUGUCCACCUCGGAUGUUAUGUCAAAGUUCCGGAAGUUCUUAAGGAUCAACAAGUAACAUGGUAUCAUCAUUCAAAAGAAAAAGGAAGGUAUGAAAUAAAGUACAGUCCCACCAAAUACAUUGAAACCACCGAACGUGGACUAGUGAUCAUUUCUGUAAAUGAGGCAGAUGGAGGAAGAUAUGAUUGUCAUCUAGGUGGAUCAUUGCUCUGUAGUUAUAAUAUAACAGUAGAUGCUCAUAGGUGUACUCCUCCAAAUAAAAGCAAUGAUUAUCAGAAAAUUUAUUCAGAUUGGUGUCAUGAGUUUGAAAAGUAUAAGUCAGCAAUGAAAACAUGGGAGAAAAAACAAGCACAAUGUUCUUCCAGCAGACAAAACCUAAGUACUGUCCAACAUCCAAAUGAUGUAUUUAAUAAAAACAUGGUAUGAUCAUCACUAGAAUAAUUUUAUCCUAACAACAGGAGAAAAUUGAAUAGACAAUGAUAAUUUUUGACUUAAAAUUUUUUUACGCAAAUUUCUACUAAUAAUUUCAAGUUAACUUAAUGUAAUUCAGUUAAUUGAUAAAUAAUAACACUGUUCCACAAACCCGGAAAUUGCGUCUAUCAUCAACCGGACCAAUUUCAUUUGAAAUUAGGUGUAAUAAUUUUAAAGAGUAUUAAAUAUUUAUUAGCAUUUUUUUACGCAAAAAAAUCAGAACUGAUCAAUGUAAUUAAGGAAAAACACUGUAACAUUGUAAAAUAUUUAAAAUUAUGUCAAAUAAUAAAUAUGAAUUUUCAAUAAAUAA